Molecule: ribosomal RNA, 253 nt
Filed under: uncultured bacterium
Lineage: Bacteria
Description: partial 16S ribosomal RNA
Rfam family: Bacterial small subunit ribosomal RNA
Source: RNAcentral
UACAUAGGAUGCAAGCGUUAUCCGGAAUGAUUGGGCGUAAAGCGUCCGCAGGUGGUUUUGUAAGUCUGCUGUUAAAGCGUUAGGCUCAACCUAAUAAGGGCAGUGGAAACUAUGAGACUAGAGUAUGUUAGGGGUAGAGGGAAUUCCCAGUGUAGCGGUGAAAUGCGUAGAGAUUGGGAAGAACACCGGUGGCGAAAGCGCUCUGCUAGGACAAUACUGACACUGAGGGACGAAAGCUAGGGGAGCGAAUGGG